UACGUAGGGGGCAAGCGUUGUCCGGAUUUAUUGGGCGUAAAGAGCGUGUAGGCGGCCUGGAAGGUCAGCUGUGAAAACUCGAGGCUCAACCUCGAGACGUCGGUUGAAACCACCUGGCUAGAGUCCGGAAGAGGAGUGUGGAAUUCCUGGUGUAGCGGUGGAAUGCGCAGAUAUCAGGAGGAACACCAAUAGCGAAGGCAGCUCGCUGGGACGUUACUGACACUGAGGCGCGAAAGCGUGGGGAGCGAACAGG
RNAcentral lists this ribosomal RNA (253 nucleotides) under uncultured bacterium. Its description in RNAcentral is "partial 16S ribosomal RNA". It matches the Rfam family "Bacterial small subunit ribosomal RNA", at positions 524 to 776 of the family's 1533-position model. The record is from RNAcentral.